Molecule: long non-coding RNA, 1504 nt
Organism: Rosa rugosa (rugosa rose)
Lineage: Eukaryota; Viridiplantae; Streptophyta; Magnoliopsida; Rosales; Rosaceae
Exons: 5
Source: RefSeq, a predicted model, not a curated record
AUUGGAACCACUAUCUGAAGAGAGGAAAACAAAAUGGCAAAGGGAAAUGGACUGGUUGCUCUCCCCUACAAUACUCAAUGGUUGAGCUAGUUCAUUCCAGGAAAAAUGGUGCUAAUGGCUGGACAUUAGAGAUUAUGACUCCGAAAGCUCGUGCAAACAUACACAUCAAUCUUCCAGCACUUAAGAAGUUGGACUCGAUGCUUAUUGAAACACUUGAUUCAAUGGUGGAUACUGAGUUUGGGUAUGUAGAAGGUCGGGCAGAAGGAUGAAACAGAACUCCAGGUCAGAGCAAGAGAUGGUGGCUCCCAUCACCUCAGGUACCAGCUACUGGACUCUCUGAUACAGAAAAGAAUAAGUUACUUAAACAGGGUAAGGUGGUACAUCAAGUAUUCAAGGCUGCCAGAACCAUCAACGAAAGUGUUCUUCUUGAAAUGCCUGUGCCAACCAUUAUCAGGGAUGCACUUCCCAAGGUAGUGAAAUUUUUUCUGGUUUAGUAUUUUGAUCGAUCUGUUUGGUUUGAUUUUGGUAUGCAAUUAUAGUGUCUCAGAUGUAGUCCAAUUUCAGUUAGACGUUCUAGUAUUAGUGCUCAGAAUGGUGAUCGUGGCUUUUUCGUUUUUUUUCAGUCUUCCUUAAUCAAUCCUUGCAUUUUUCAUUGUCCAAUGUUGUGUUAUUGUUUACUGUAAUUCUUUUGGUAGAUUUUGUUUUUUUUUUUUUUGGUUUUCUGAAGAAAUAGUUUUCAUUUCUGGGUUCUUAAUUUUUUUUCAGUUUUUAUUUUAGGUGAGUGGCGAUUAUUGCUUGUGAAAUACAAUGGUAGUUCGUCUGGGUGUAUAUUGUGCUGGGAUUUUUUUUAUUUAUUAUUGGAUUGACUUUUCUGGAACUCAAGCAGGUCUAUUUCCCACCACACUUAGUGUGAAGAGGAAGGUGGUCAUUGAUGCCUUCCGCCUUAUCAACCCAUAGACUAUGAUGCUCGGUCAAGAACAUCGGCAGACCACAUCCAAUCUGGGCCAUCUUAAUAAACCAUCUAUUCAACUUUGAUCCAUGGGUUAAACCGGCAUUAUUACUCUAUAGCAAUCAAUUACAGGAAGAAUGAACUCGAGGAGAAGAUGUUGCUUAACCUUCAUAACAAGGGACAGUUGUUUUGAUUCGGGGCAGUAAGCAUGGCGGUGACAAACUAGUUCUCAACUCAUUGGCACAUGUUUUUGCUAGGUUCAUUUGCAGAUCAUAUUGUUCAAAUAAAGGAUGGUGCAUAGUUGGUGCUAGGAAGGCAGGUGGAGAGCUAGAUUUGAUCCCACAUCCCACCACUUCCUCCAACCAUUUCACCCAUUGUGAAGCUAAAAGUCCUGAUUUCUCUCAAGUAUUAUGUACCAAUUCAUUAUCAAACUACUAGGUCGAUCAUUUUACUUUUGGGUUGUUUAGUGAACAUAUGCCACUUUGGCUUAUUAGGUUUCAUGAUUUUGUGGAACAAUGACUAAUAUGAAUGCAUCUUGGUGGAUCCAUUUGAUGA